This 1938-nucleotide long non-coding RNA is filed under the name Bos taurus (domestic cattle). RNAcentral's name for it is "long non-coding RNA NONBTAT001439". The record is from RNAcentral. Lineage: Eukaryota; Metazoa; Chordata; Mammalia; Artiodactyla; Bovidae.
UGCUGAGACUUUAACGAGAACAUAAAUUGGACUUAGUAAGGUUUUGGAGAGCAAGAGUUUUUGUUACCACUGGCCCUGUUCACAGAGAUAAACCACCAUGUCUUUUAGAGUAUGUUUGUUGGUUUGAGCACUUAUAUUAUCUUGGAUACUUCAGAACUGGCCUGAUGCCUACAAAGGAUUCACACAUUUAGUUUACCUAGCAGAUUUUUUAAACGUUCCUCUCAAGUUACUUUUUAAGCUGCUUUUAAAUCUCCAGGGAAAGCUGGUCUCUGUAUUUUGAAAUAAUGUUGCAAAUUUUAUUUGUAGUUACAGAAGACAAAAAGUACUCAAUUUCCUCUCUCCCAUGUAUUACUGUGACUUUUGAACAGGAAAACAAACUUACAAGUAGACAAGAAUAGACAUCUCAAGUAGUUUAGAUAUUGCUUUAAAUAGAUCUCUGGACUCAGAAAAUAUAUUAAACUCUGUAGAACAUUUGAAGAUAGCUUUUGGGAAAUUAUGGAGACAGGUAUAUUCCAGAAUGAGACUACAGAGUCUGUUAAAUACUGGAAUGGUUAUAAUUGAUGUUUUUUGAGCAUCUGUAGAAAAAAUUAGUGAUCCCCGAAUAAAUGUCUUUUCUUGGAACAAGUAAUGCAAACAGACUUUCACUUGUUUUGAUAUGUUUUAGACUAUAGAUAAGGGGGAUGGUGUAGAAGACAAUUUCAUCAGGGCAUAUGCUAAUCACUUGGCGUCAAGAUGAGAAAAAUACUUUUUGGGCAGUUAUAUCUAUGUGUAUAGUUUUGUGUCUGCUUAGGUUUUGGAGAUACUUAUCCAUCAACCAACCAUCCAGCCACCUCACGUUAAAUAAUUUUGCGUAGGUGUCAGACCAUUCUAACCUAGCAAUAUGAGCGUGAAGAGAAGGGACACAUUUGUCCAAAGCUGUACAUUUCUAAUAAUGUAAAGCCUAAUGGAGAAGUUCUAUGAAGAAAAACAGAGCAAGAUGAGAGUGAGAGUGGGGUGUUAAUUUAUGCAGGAUGGUCAAAGGAGAUCUCAUAAGAUUGACCUUGAGUGUACUGUGUGCUUCACUUAAUCUCUGGUGACUAGCUUUAAACCAGUGAAUGAGUGAAAAUACAGCAGUCAAAAUCAUUUGAAAAAUUAUGUUAAGAUCUUCACUGUUACAGAGCAUUGUUUCUGGUUUUCAAAUUGUAAAAUUGAAUAAAGUAUUUGUUUUAUUUAGACAUGGAACUUUUAACUGCAAAGUUCUAUUUUGAAUAAGGCCUGAUUCUCCAUCUUGAGUUGUUGGGGAGUGUCACAUAGAAAAGAAUCAGUUAUAACUACAGGAAGGAGGACAGUUUGUUGACAGACUUGAAGGUUUUAAUUCAUACCCGAAGGAAAGAAUUGAGGUUAACAUUCCUGAUGUUUUGCACUGUGGCCAGACAAUAAAUCAGGCAGGAAAUUGAAAAAGUAAAGUAUGUUCAGAGGAGGUUGAAAAGGGGCUGUAAGAAUCCUGAAAACGAGAGCUGGAAAGUGUGUCAAAGUUACAUCUGGAGCAGACUCAGUGGAAGCAGGAGUAAAAAAAUCUAAGACAAGGCAAAUUCUACUGUUUAAAUACCCACUGUGUUACUUGCAGAAGAAAAAUAAUAAUUGAGAUGGGGUUACAAUGAAAUGUCAGAUGUGCUGAAACACAGGACAUAGACAUAUUCCUUUGGUUAAAGGGAAGAGGACUAUUUUGUGCUAAGUAGAGCAGGGAAGCAUUAUUGCAGUUAAUUGACCUCAUGGUCUGUGCCAGAGCACCAGGACCUACCCUGAGUUUGUACAACCUUAAGAGUAGUGUGUCAAGUUUUGUGCCCUGGGCCUCCCUUGCUUCAGUUUAAUCCCAGCACUUACGGGGCUCAGAGGGCUUAGGAGUUUCUUCCUUGAACAUCAAUUGCCUUUUCCCUCCCAACUGUCUUGCCUUUCCAU